RNAcentral lists this long non-coding RNA (249 nucleotides) under Manihot esculenta (cassava). RNAcentral's name for it is "long non-coding RNA (MESC_LNC007844)". The record is from RNAcentral. Lineage: Eukaryota; Viridiplantae; Streptophyta; Magnoliopsida; Malpighiales; Euphorbiaceae.
GGAUGGCAGUUUGGGAGUUAGCAUGUCAGAAGAAGGUAUGGGAGAGUCCCAAGGAGGCACUCAGGCCUCGGGAUUUGUUCAGCCACCCCACUACCCACACUUCUCACAACAUCCCGGGUAUUCGAUGGGAGGUACAUCGGAUUACCCUAGCUUCACCCCUUAUCCCACACAGAUGCCAUACCCACCAUACUACCCACCAUAUUCACAAUACCCAAUGUAUCCACCCCCACCUUACUAUCCAAAUCCAGC